ACGCUGUGGCGGGCCGGUUCAGCGCGGCGUUGGCGGUGCCGCAGCCGCCGGUGCCGCCGGUCGUGCCGUAC
RNAcentral lists this transfer RNA (71 nucleotides) under Catellatospora coxensis. Its description in RNAcentral is "tRNA-Ala". The record is from RNAcentral. Lineage: Bacteria; Bacillati; Actinomycetota; Actinomycetes; Micromonosporales; Micromonosporaceae.